This 838-nucleotide ribosomal RNA is filed under the name Arthrobacter sp. RNAcentral's name for it is "bacterial SSU rRNA". It matches the Rfam family "Bacterial small subunit ribosomal RNA", at positions 57 to 907 of the family's 1533-position model. Lineage: Bacteria; Bacillati; Actinomycetota; Actinomycetes; Micrococcales; Micrococcaceae. The record is from RNAcentral.
GCAAGUCGAACGAUGAAGCCAGCUUGCUGGUGGAUUAGUGGCGAACGGGUGAGUAACACGUGAGUAACCUGCCCUUAACUCUGGGAUAAGCCUGGGAAACUGGGUCUAAUACCGGAUAUGACUCCUCAUCGCAUGGUGGGGGGUGGAAAGCUUUUUGUGGUUUUGGAUGGACUCGCGGCCUAUCAGCUUGUUGGUGAGGUAAUGGCUCACCAAGGCGACGACGGGUAGCCGGCCUGAGAGGGUGACCGGCCACACUGGGACUGAGACACGGCCCAGACUCCUACGGGAGGCAGCAGUGGGGAAUAUUGCACAAUGGGCGCAAGCCUGAUGCAGCGACGCCGCGUGAGGGAUGACGGCCUUCGGGUUGUAAACCUCUUUCAGUAGGGAAGAAGCGAAAGUGACGGUACCUGCAGAAGAAGCGCCGGCUAACUACGUGCCAGCAGCCGCGGUAAUACGUAGGGCGCAAGCGUUAUCCGGAAUUAUUGGGCGUAAAGAGCUCGUAGGCGGUUUGUCGCGUCUGCCGUGAAAGUCCGGGGCUCAACUCCGGAUCUGCGGUGGGUACGGGCAGACUAGAGUGAUGUAGGGGAGACUGGAAUUCCUGGUGUAGCGGUGAAAUGCGCAGAUAUCAGGAGGAACACCGAUGGCGAAGGCAGGUCUCUGGGCAUUAACUGACGCUGAGGAGCGAAAGCAUGGGGAGCGAACAGGAUUAGAUACCCUGGUAGUCCAUGCCGUAAACGUUGGGCACUAGGUGUGGGGGACAUUCCACGUUUUCCGCGCCGUAGCUAACGCAUUAAGUGCCCCGCCUGGGGAGUACGGCCGCAAGGCUAAAACUCAAAGG